GACGAACGCUGGCGGCAGUGCCUAAUACAUGCAAGUCGAGCGAACAGAAGAGAAGCUUGCUUCUCAGACGUUAGCGGCGGAUGGGUGAGUAACACGUGGGCAACCUGCCCUGCAGUUGGGGAUAACUCCGGGAAACCGGGCUAAUACCGAAUAAUUAGUUGGUUCGCAUGAACCAACUCUAAAAGAUGGUUUCGGCUAUCACUGCAGGAUGGGCCCGCGGCGCAUUAGCUAGUUGGUGGGAUAAUGGCCUACCAAGGCAACGAUGCGUAGCCGACCUGAGAGGGUGAUCGGCCACACUGGGACUGAGACACGGCCCAG
Molecule: ribosomal RNA, 318 nt
Filed under: uncultured bacterium
Lineage: Bacteria
Description: bacterial SSU rRNA
Rfam family: Bacterial small subunit ribosomal RNA
Source: RNAcentral